Callithrix jacchus (white-tufted-ear marmoset) is the source of this 704-nucleotide non-coding RNA. The record is from the annotation of a RefSeq genome assembly. Lineage: Eukaryota; Metazoa; Chordata; Mammalia; Primates; Cebidae.
CCCAGCCUGGGAUUUUCAGGUGUUGCAUUUGGUGAUCAGCACAGAACACAGAGACUGAACUUACCAUGGAAUUUGUGCUGAGCUGGGUUUUACUUGUUGCUAUUUUAAAAGGUGUCCAGUGUGAGGUGCAGCUGGUGGAGUCUGGCGGACGCUUGGUUCAGCCUGGGGGGUCCCUGAGACUCUCCUGUGCGGCCUCUGGAUUCACAUUCAGUAGCUACGCCAUGGCCUGGGUCCGCCAGGCUCCGGGGAAGGGGCUGGAGUGGGUCUCAGCCAUUAGUAGUGGUGGCACAUACUACGCAGACUCCGUGAAGGGCCGAUUCACCAUCUCCAGAGACAACGCCAAGAACUCGCUGGAUCUGCAGAUGAACAGCCUGAGAGCCGAGGACACGGCCGUGUAUUACUGUGCGAGAGACACAGUGAGGGGAAGUCAGUGUGAGCCGGAACACAAACCUCCUGCAGGAACUCUCGGGGAAUCAGCUGCAGGGGGCGCUCGGGAGCCACUGAUCAGCGUCAACCCCAGAGGCAGGUGCAGAUGGAGGCUGAUUUCCUGUCAGGAUGUGGGACUUCAUCUUCUGACAGUUUCUCUAGUGAAUCUCUCUAAAUUUAGAAUUCUGUGCUUCCUAAUAUUAUCUCUACCUUAUUUUUUAAAGAUCGAGAGAGAAGAAAGAAAAGUUCCAAAGCUCUGUCCAUUCUUUCAGGAAUGA